RNA transcript from Raphanus sativus (radish), 2051 nucleotides. It is a transcript of the gene named E3 ubiquitin-protein ligase XBAT32-like, with no coding region annotated. NCBI's taxonomy places the organism in Eukaryota, Viridiplantae, Streptophyta, Magnoliopsida, Brassicales, Brassicaceae. The record is from RefSeq and is a predicted model, not a curated record. The transcript is spliced from 4 exons.
UUCGUCUUCGUCGUUUCUUCUUCUCUAACCGAUCGACGAACAAUCCAAUCUCUUCUCCACGUUUUCAUGCAAUCAAUCCUCCGUUUCUUACAUUUAUGGCCUCCUUUAACCUUCCUCCCUCUGGAUGUGUAUAUAAAUCUAUACUUCCGUGUUUGAUCUCCGUUAAAAUUGGUGAUUUUCUCUCUAAAACCUAUUGCGAUGAAUCCUGACGGCAAAUCCAACGUUUCCGGCGAUUCUAUUCCGACGAAAGAAAACGGCAAAGCCUCUGUCUCCUCACCCGUUCAGAUCAAUCGUCUCGGAGAUUCCGGAGGAGACUCCAUCGUGUCGACCAAAGUUACCGGUCAAACCGGUGUCUCCUCAACUGGUGUCUCUUCCGCUCCUCGGGUUAAGCCAAACGUCAAGACGGUUUCCCCUCCGCCAAAGGUGACGACGUCAGCUCCGGUGGAUCCUCUGCAAAUCCGAUAGAAGCAAAUCCAAAGACCUGUGUCUCAUCCGCCAUUCAAGAUUUUGUAUGUGCCAAAGAAAUGGAAGCCUCCUCGACAAUGUGUUGUUUCAAGUUUCCGAACACCGCGACGCCUAUGGCGGUGAUAGCGCUCUUGAUUCUGGAAACAGACGGCUAUCAUGCAAGCUUGCCAAAAUCACUGGGAAGUCAUUUUGAUUCCCACUUUUUUGUGCUAAUGUAAGCAUUUGAUAAACUCUUAUUCUCACAGAUUGACACAGUGAUUGUAUUUGAUUAUUUGGGUCGAUAGAUUCACAGAUCAGAUAACCUAAGCAGCUCUGCAUCUCGCUGCUCGAAAUAUUUUGAUAGUGUUUCGAAAGAGUUAAUGAUUAUGGCUUCAGUAGACAUGAUUAGCUGAAGAUGUCUUUCAACCAUGAAGUGAUAAACAGAGCAUUAGAUGGAGAAACAGACACAAAGAGACAGUGCAGUUGCUCUUGAAUUUGGGAGCUUCAGUUGCUCAAGUCACUGUGGAAGAUGGAACCACAAUAUAUCUUAAAGUUGUUCACGACGCCAAAAACACAAUCUCGAGAAACACAGAGGAUAAGGCAGGGCAAGAGGCUGGGUAUUGAUAUCGACGGGAUCUGAUCCUGUAGAAGCUGUCGUAGAGAGACCACACAGACGAUGGAUGCUGCUACCACCCUUGACUUGAAAUAGCGUGAGAAGUUUUGAUCCAUGUUUUGCAUUCUGCUUCAGACAGCUUCUAGAUAUGAACAUUGUGUAUGGAACAGAGUACUUCACAUGUCUCUGGUUUCCUGAAGAUGGUGAACCCAAAGGUGAAUACACAGCGAGAAUCUCCACUCCCGGUGCUGUUACAUCCAGCUGCAUUUCAAUCAACCUUUUGUCUCUCACAUCCAUAUUUGUAAAUAAAAAUCGAACAAAGAUAAAACAUAAAACAGUAUGACAGUCACCUUAAGAAGGUCAACAGCGAUGGGGUUUGGACCACGAGAAGAGAAGGAAGCAACUUUAGGAGCUUUCUGAUUAAAGACCUCAGUUUUUAGAACAGUGCCUUGCGCGAACCUCAAGAUAACAAACGUAGAUAUAUCAGCAGGACAAAAAAAAAUUUCUGAGCAGAUGUUAAAUGCAUGAAACAAAGAGAGUUGUUACUUUGUGGAGUUAACGUAAGAAACAAGAAACUCAAAUUCAUUUGGUGACAGAGCAGAGAGGGGAAAAGGGCAAAUGGUGGCAUAGUUUUUGUAGUCUUUAAUUAUGGUUGCAACAGCUUCAACUGAACUGAGUAUCCGCUCACCAAUAUUUGGCUCUAGACCGAGACAUUCUCCAAAUAUAUAUGGAGUUUUUGUUUUUAUUUUUGGUUUUUUAUGUAUGAAACAACUUUAUACGUAUAUUUUCAUCAACAAUUUUUUAAUAUGUAUACUAAAUUUUGACCUACGCUUCAAAAUGCAGAUUUAUUUUUACAACUACAAAAUAUUUUUCAUAUGAAUUUAUAUAUAAGAUAUUGUAUAGAUGUAGACACAUUUAUUAGAAACCAAAUAAACAAAACUAAAACUGAACCGAAUUCAUAAAUAACCAAACAUAUUAUAUAUCUCUAGAACCA